Non-coding RNA from Vicia faba (fava bean), 192 nucleotides. Lineage: Eukaryota; Viridiplantae; Streptophyta; Magnoliopsida; Fabales; Fabaceae. The record is from the annotation of a GenBank genome assembly.
AUGCUUUCUAAAAAAAUAAGCUUCGUAUAUUUUGAAACACUGUUUAAUUCAUUUCAAAUAAAUGACCAUAAAAUAAGUUUUUCAAUCGUGUUAUUAUAUUGUUUUUACUGCGUUCCUAUUAUCUCAGUUUUGUUGUGGGUUUUUGGUGGUUUGCAGUGUUCUUUUACAUGCAUUAUAUUUGUACUGGUUUAG